UCUGUUUUCAUUCCAUUAAGGGUCACAGUAUCAUCAUCCUCCCAUUUAUCGAACCAUAUAGGUUCUAAUACCAUAUAUUUUCCGACAGGGACAUUAUAUUUUUUCCAUCGGGUCAUUCUAUUUUAUAGAAUUUAAAACAAAGUAGGCUUUCUAUUUUCAUUCCAUUAAGGGUCACGGUAUCAUCAUCCUCUCAUUUAUCGAACCAUAUAGGUUCAAAUACCAUAUAUUUUCCAUCAGGGACAUUCUAUUUUUUCCAUCGGGUCAUUCUAUUUUAUAGAAUUUAAAACAAAGUAGGUUUUCUUUUUUCAUUCCAUUAAGGGUCAGAAUAUCAUCAUCCUCCCAUUUAUCGAACCGUAUAGGUUCAAAUACCAUAUUUUUUCCAUCAGGGACAUUCUAUUUUUUCCAUCGGGUCAUUCUAUUUUAUAGAAUUUAAAACAAAGUAGGCUUUCUUUUUUCAUUGCAUUAAGGGUCAGAAUAUCAUCAUCCUCCCAUUUAUCGAACCGUAUAG
Molecule: long non-coding RNA, 508 nt
Filed under: Trifolium pratense (red clover)
Lineage: Eukaryota; Viridiplantae; Streptophyta; Magnoliopsida; Fabales; Fabaceae
Description: long non-coding RNA (TPRA_LNC014266)
Source: RNAcentral